AAACUCCUCUGCCUCCCAAGAUCCCGUCCCCCCUGGGCAGGCGGGGAGCGGAGUGGGGCCGGGGAGCAGCGUUCCUCUCCCGCCGGAGCCAGAGCGACGUCGUUCUUCUCUCAUCUUCCGGCUCCCACCGCUCGGGUCUCUCCAGCUGCCCUUUCCAGGCCCUCUCUCGGUUCCCAAAAAGCAGGAGGGAACGGGGAGGAGGGGGGCGACGGUGUGCGUUUAACCGCAAACUCUCUCCAGACAGCGCUCACCUUCCACCUUCACUGCCCAGACCAGACGUGCGCCUCAGGUCGGGCAGCUCCCACCGGGACAGAAAACGCCUGCGGCCCGGCCACCUCGCGCCCCCCACCGCUCUGCCAGCGUCCCGGGCCGCCGAUCGCGAGCUGGCGCUGCCGGCGUUGGUCCCCGCCGUCGGCCGGGCGCCCGGAGCGCUCUGGCGGCCCCCAACCUCGGGCCCGACUCCCCGCGCCGCAGACGGCGCUUACCUGCUUACAUGGCCCCGUCGGUGCCCCAGAGUCCCGCGCGGAAAGGCUGUCGUCCGCGGCGGUGGCGGCGGCGGCGGAGCCCCAAUUCCCUAAGGAAUUGAUUCCAGUGGCUGGCGGAGGAGGGGCGGAGGGAAGGAGCCGGAGGAGGCGAAAGGGGAGGGAGGUUUCCGCCGCGAUCCCGGCGCACCGACAAGGAGAAAAGGAGAGCCACCUAGGCACGGGGUUGUCCCGCCGGAGGGGGGCCGGGGCCAGGAGGCCGCGGAGGAUGGGUGAGGUGGGAGGGGAGGGACAGACCGCGACCACCGGGUGUCUGCGGCUCCCCGAGGACCGGAGCCGGGAGGCCGGGCAGCGGAGCGAGGAGGAGCGCUGCAACCUGCCCCCGGACUGCGCCGGCUGCGCCCGCUCGCUCGGGGCGGGGGGAGAAAAAGUUGGGCAGAACUUUCCGGGGCCGCGAGAGCCCGGGCGGCAGGAAAUGCGAGCGGCCGGGAGAGGAGGGAGGAAGGGGCCGUGCGAUGGGAGGGGACGGAGCAGGCGCCGGCGGCCGUGGCUCCCCCACCCCCGGGCCGGGCGGCGGCGCAGGGGGCCGGAGGCGGAGGGAGCGCGGGGCGCGCGGCCGGGGGCGGGGAGGAAUGCGCCCGGGAGGCGCGCGCGGCGGGGCGGCGGGGCGGCGGGGCGGCGGGGGGGGGGGGCGUCCGCGCGGGGGAGCGCCGAAACUUGGAGCCCGAGCUCCCGGGCUGGAGGCGAGCCGGCCUCGGGGACGUCACAGCGCUGGAAUCCGAGGAAUGCCGGGCGGCAGGAGCUCCGUGUGCAGGCCCGGGAGCAGUCGCGCACUUUUGGAGCGGUGGCUUGGGGAACUGUUUAA
Molecule: long non-coding RNA, 1347 nt
Filed under: Felis catus (domestic cat)
Lineage: Eukaryota; Metazoa; Chordata; Mammalia; Carnivora; Felidae
Description: lncRNA (ENSFCAG00000048300.1)
Source: RNAcentral